Long non-coding RNA from Chrysolophus pictus (golden pheasant), 2526 nucleotides. The record is from Ensembl. Lineage: Eukaryota; Metazoa; Chordata; Aves; Galliformes; Phasianidae.
CACAAAGCCGUGACAUCACUGUGCGGACAAUUUUAGCUCUCAGGACUGUUUACUGGCAGAAGAUCCAGCCCGUGACCAAUUAACUCCAGCUCGCUAUGGGAGACUGGGGGUGAUGCCAUUGUAUCCUGUGAAGGCAGGAUACAAGUUGGCGCCUCCCUGCUUCCUCUUAUCUGGGUGGCAAGGCCAGGAAGAUGGGAACAAAGGAGUUUCUGCUGAGAUCCCAGAGCCACAAGCUGCCACUCCAAGGAGAGCUGACUCGACCGCUUUGGAUUUGAGCUGCCCCUCCAAAGAGAGCUGACUCAGUCACUUUGGAUUUGAGCUGUCACUCCAAAGAGAGCUGACUCGACCACGUUGGGCUUAUAAAUGAGUUUGUACUACCAUUCAAAAGUGGCCAUCGUCACCGUGGUCAUCACCGUCAUCGUCAACAGAACAACAACGCCUGCUGACCCAGCACAACUGAAGAUCAGUGACUGAACCACGAACCAUGCUGGAUCCAUGCGGUGCCUAUCUCCCUCUAGCUUCCUCUAGAAAUUCCCUGCUUCUUCUUUCCCAUCCUUUCUACCACCCUCCUUCCCUUCUUCAUUACCCUCACUCCUAAUUGCGUCCAUCCUCCCCUUCCCCACCUCCCUGAUUAAGAUCUGUAAUAAACUGGUCGGACCAACAUUCGAACCGUUGUUUCUUAAUCUCACGCCAGGUGUACGGAUAUUAAAAGAACCUCCUCUGCCUCCUAUAAAUUGGAGCGAGACACUGCGUUCAUGCGCUCUGCUGUCAGCAAGCUGAGAGCCUCCAGGUCAGUUUUAUGAAAAAAAAUAUAUAGAAACUGCGAUUGAGGGAUUGCUUCAGGUGGGCUUUCUUCGCUUUUUUUUUCUCGUUCCUCCUUUUUUCCCCCCUUCCUCUAUUUCUUUCCCCUUCCCCCCCCUUUCUCUUUCUUUUCCCAUUCUUCCUCUCUUUUUCCCUCCUUCCUCAUUUUUCUCUCCACUUUCUCUCUGUUUUUCCCCCUUCCUCUAUUUCUUUCGCCUUCCUCUAUUUCCACCUCUUUCUCUUCCCCCCCCCCUUCCACUGUUUUUUUCCCCUUCCUCUUUUAUUUUCCCCUUUCUUUUUUUCCCCCCUUACUCUGUUUUUUUUACCCCUUUCUCUUUUUCUUCCCCUUCCUCUUUUUUCUCCCCCCUUACUCUCAUUUUGGUUCCCCUUCCCCUUUUUUUUCCCCCCUCCCUGACCCCGCCAAAACCUGCCUUACCAAAUUACUGCACCUGAAGCCCAGGGCCCGCCGCCAUUUCACACGCAAUGCUGGGAGCUUCCUUCUCCCCGGCUGCGUCCCGUUCUUCGGUUCCUCUGCAGCCGAGCUCAGAGCCCCGCUUUGCCUCGCAGACCGCAGAGCCGUUUUCUGCCGCUCGCACCAGGGAGCGAAGGGACGCAAAAAAGCUCAGCGGACGCCGCGUGACGUCACCGAGCCGCGGCGCGCGGUGAUGACGUCACAUCCGGACUGGAGCGGAAGCGGAAGCAGAAGGGGGCGGGCGGGAGGCUGAUACAGGGGGAGCUGCGCUGCGCUGCUUUGCGCUGCUUGUCGUUCGGUGCCGCCCCGCAGCGCUGCGGGAAGCGAUGGCAGCGGCUGCCAUCCAGCACGGUGUGCUUCCUGCAACCGGCGCGUCUCGUCUGCGAGGGAAAACCUUCAGCCCGAGGUGGUGACGGCCCAGGGGUGGGGGAGGGGGGCACUCGGGUGAGGAGCGUCCCGUCCGAUCGCCCUUGAGCCGCGUCCGGCUGCGGCGUGCCUCCCAAAAGCGGCCGCGGGCCGUGCGCCGUACCGGGCUCGGUGGUUUCCCAGGGCCGCUUUUAGCCGUGCGCCGGGAGGACGGCAGGCUUCGCGAAGAAGUGCGUCUGCUCAGCGCGUUGGGCGUCCCUUCACCUCUCUCGUUUACCCCCGCGGCCUUCGAUGCUCUGCUGUCGUUGUGGCUGUGCGAGCCCCGUCCCAGGCGAUGGGGAGGAGGGAGCGUCCCGCAGCACUGCGCGGAGGGGGGGCUGCGACUGAACCCCAGCGCGCUUCGGUUGCUGCCAACUCUGCGUCUUUAUGACGGGCGGCAGCUUGGCAAGAUGGGCCUGGAAAGGAAGGGGUCACAGAAUCACAGAAUUGCCAGGGUUGGUUAAAGAAAGCAUCCCAGGGGAUCUCGGCCAACAGACCAUUGAACAGCUUAAAGUUUGCUCUCCCAAAGUUCAGGGUCCUGACGCCACUCUUCACCAGGCCCGCAUCUCUUGAGAUCACAAACUCGACCGGAGCGUGGUCACUGCAACCCACGCUGCCUCCAACCUUAACACCAUUAAUUAUUUCCUCCACAUUGGUGAGCAGCAGGUCCAGCAACGCUUCACCUCUGGUCGGUCUGUCCAACGCCUGGACCAGAAAGUUAUCGUCAACACAUUCUAGGAGCCUCCUGGACCUCUUGCAAUUUGCCGUGUGGUCUAUCCAGGAGAUAUCCGGAUGGCUGAAGUCCCCCAUCAGGACAAGAGCCCGUGAGCAUGAAGCCUCCCGCAUCU